This 258-nucleotide ribosomal RNA is filed under the name uncultured bacterium. RNAcentral's name for it is "partial 16S ribosomal RNA". It matches the Rfam family "Bacterial small subunit ribosomal RNA", at positions 96 to 354 of the family's 1533-position model. The record is from RNAcentral.
UGGCGACGGGUGAGUAACGCUGGGGAACCUGCCUUGCACCGGGGGAUAACACUUGAAAUAGUGCUAAUACCGCAUAAGCGCACUAGAGCCGCAUGGGCUCGGUGGUGAAAAACUACCGGUGGUGCAAGAUGGACCCGCGUCUGAUUAGCUGGUUGGCGGGGUAACGGCCCACCAAGGCGACGAUCAGUAGCCGGCCUGAGAGGGUGAACGGCCACAUUGGGACUGAGACACGGCCCAAACUCCUACGGAAGGCAGCAG